CUUCUCCAGGUCUCGACCCUUCUUCAUCCACCGAGGGGCAGCUUCAUCGCGCUCCAUCGGGCGUCGAGUGCGUCGGCACGCAUGCGUCGAGGCAAAGAUUUUCGAAAUGUCCCUCUGGCAUUUCAUCAGCAUCUCAUCUCGACUGCGCCAAGAGCCUCCUUCAUUUGCCGGUUCCUUUCCGCGGCUUGGUUAAUUAUUAUUUUUCACGUGUCGUUUCGUUUGUACUUGUUGCUUGUCCGACCGCUUCUUGCUUCGUUACUCGAAAACGUAGCGACAGACCGUUUCUACGAGCCUUAAUUGGUUCCAUUUAUAGUUGCACGGUACCACUCGACCCGACUCGUUUACGACCCACGUUUUGCCAUUCGUUUCGCAAAUCAACCGGACGCGCCUUUUGCGCCACAGUUUCUACCCUGGAAGCAAGGAGGAAAAAUCGUAGCUCGAUUCCCCAUGGCGUGAUACACUUGAGCCAUUUCGUGGGACAGAAGAAACUCUGAUCAAUAACAUUACCCCAAAGAGAGGCGGCAACCCCUCUGCAACGACUACUCCCCCAUGAUGGUGAGCGCAUGCCCACGAAUUAAACGGCAUCCCUUCUCG
Molecule: unclassified non-coding RNA, 594 nt
Filed under: Bombus terrestris (buff-tailed bumblebee)
Lineage: Eukaryota; Metazoa; Arthropoda; Insecta; Hymenoptera; Apidae
Description: misc RNA ENSBTSG00005034547.1
Source: RNAcentral